GCAUUGUGAAUUGCAGAAUUCCGUGAACCAAUAGGGAUUUGAACGUAUACUGCGCUUUCGGGAUAUCCCUGAAAGCAUGCCUGCUUCAGUGUCUACUGAUAUUCAUGCCACCGGCGCUUUCCAAAGCAAUUUGGUACUGCCGCGUGUGCGUCUUUGUGUGUCAAGGAGCUCUGCCCUUGACGCAUUCAGUGCACAGGCGCUGUCCACAACAAGCAAUUUGAAUAACACCUCUGGUGUCGUUUAUUGCUUCGUUGCUGGCCGCAUGCCUGCUACUCUUCGAAAGUCUUCGAUCUUAUUCAAGACAUGAAGUUAGGUCAGCAAACCCGCUGAAUUUAAGCAUAUCAAUA
This 347-nucleotide ribosomal RNA is filed under the name uncultured eukaryote. RNAcentral's name for it is "eukaryotic LSU rRNA". The stretch from base 1 to 94 matches the Rfam family "5.8S ribosomal RNA", at positions 62 to 154 of the family's 154-position model. The record is from RNAcentral.